Molecule: unclassified non-coding RNA, 253 nt
Filed under: uncultured Myxococcales bacterium
Lineage: Bacteria; Pseudomonadati; Myxococcota; Myxococcia; Myxococcales
Description: contains 16S-23S intergenic spacer region
Rfam family: Bacterial small subunit ribosomal RNA
Source: RNAcentral
UACAGAGGGUGCUAGCGUUGUUCGGAAUUAUUGGGCGUAAAGGGCGCGUAGGCGGCUUCGUGUGUCGGGCGUGAAAGCCCACCUCUCAAAGGUGGAAUUGCGUCCGAAACUACGGAGCUAGAGUGUCGGAGAGGGUAGUGGAAUUCCUGGUGUAGAGGUGAAAUUCGUAGAUAUCAGGAGGAACACCGGUGGCGAAGGCGGCUACCUGGACGACAACUGACGCUGAGGCGCGAAAGCGUGGGGAGCAAACAGG